Molecule: non-coding RNA, 255 nt
Organism: Pelobates cultripes (western spadefoot toad)
Lineage: Eukaryota; Metazoa; Chordata; Amphibia; Anura; Pelobatidae
Source: the annotation of a GenBank genome assembly
GGAAGGACAGCGUUCUGGACAUCACACCUCCAUAGCCAGGCGUGGGGUCCUCGGCAUCCGCCAUAUUAGGUCUACCAUGUGUGGUAUCAUUGCCGUCUGAGUCAGAUUCGCACAGCCCCAGUAAAGUGAGUGAGCCUCCAGGGUGGGGACCGGGAUCUCCCCCGCCGGUCCAUAGGGGGGGGUAGCAGGGCACCAUCAAGAUUUGGAUGUAGGUCCGCCUGAGCUUGGCUGGGAGAGCGGCCGCCUCUCCCUUCC